Molecule: non-coding RNA, 2167 nt
Organism: Physcomitrium patens
Lineage: Eukaryota; Viridiplantae; Streptophyta; Bryopsida; Funariales; Funariaceae
Source: RefSeq, a predicted model, not a curated record
AGGUAGUGCAAAAUUGCAAAACUAUACUUGAAACGGAGAAGCGCAGGCACUAGUAUUCCGGCGACGAGUGUUUGUUGCUGCCUGAGCGUGCUUUGCUUUGUGUGUGUAUUUGUGUGUGUGAGUGUGUGUGUGUUUUUUGGAUUUUGUGUUUUUGUUCCCACCCUUGCUGUUGCAUUCUUCCGAGGUUGUGUGUUUUUAUUGCUUCUAGUUGUGACUGCACUUGUGCCGCGGUCUUGCUUCUGUUCCUCUUGGAAUCCAAGUUUCGGAACGGAGGCCUCAUUGUUGUCGUGUUGCUCGUCGUCGUCGUCGUCGUGCUUCUUCUUCCUCCUCCAUUGCUGCCUCCAUUGCUGCCUACUCUGCUCACUAAUCCUAUCAAUUCGCUCACUCUUAGUGUGAAUAUGAGAGACAAGUAUGCGCACUCGCGUCGUUCUCCUUCGGGCUUCGUGCUCCCUGCUCCUCCACCCGUCGUCGUCGCCCCCAAAGAAGGCGUCGUGGCCUCCAGCUUCCUCGACCAAGAUCGAGCCUACUUCCACGCCUACUCUCAUGUUGGUAUUCACGAAGAGAUGAUCAAGGAUCGAGCCCGCACAGAUGCCUAUCGAGAUGCAAUCUUCUUCCACGCUGAUUAUAUUCGAGACAAGGUUGUUAUGGAUGUAGGAUGUGGGACAGGCAUACUCUCCAUUUUUUGUGCUUAUGCGGGUGCUCGAAAGGUUCAUGCCGUGGAUGCGAGUGCCAUUGCAGUGCAGGCAAGAGAGGUGGUGAAGGCAAAUAAUCUUUCCGAUGUUAUUACAGUUCAUCACGGCAGAGUGGAGGACUUACAGAUAUUCGAAGAAGUAGAUGUUAUCGUAUCAGAAUGGAUGGGUUACAUGCUUCUUUACGAGAGCAUGUUAGGUAGCGUCAUAUAUGCUCGAGAUCGAUGGUUAAAGCCUGGUGGUCUCAUGCUUCCCUCUUUUGCAACUUUGUACAUGGCGCCGAUCACCAAUGCUGAGAAAUAUUCAGAAUGCAUCGACUUUUGGCGCAGUGUAUAUGGCAUCGAUAUGUCGGCAAUGUUGCCUUUGGCGAAGCAGUGUUCUUUUGAGGAGCCAUGCAUUGAGACAGUUCCAGCUGAGAGUGUUUUAUCAUGGCCUAUAGUGAUCAAGCAAAUCGAUUGUAAUACAGUGACUGUGAGGGAGCUUGAAACAGUUAAAGCUGACUUCUCUGUGUCCUCCAUUAUGAUGGCUCCCUUACAUGGAUUUUGUAUUUGGUUCGACGUGUCGUUUGGAACUCGAGUUCUUCAAGAAACGGAUUUGCAAUCAGACUCCUCUUUGGAUAGUUCUUUUUCUGGUGAAAAUGACAAUAAUGGAAACAGUCGGACCAAGAAGCGAGCAAAUCCCAGUGAUUGUAUUGUUCUCUCUACAGCUCCUGAUUCUACCCCAACUCAUUGGGCUCAGACCAUUUUGUAUGUAUAUGAUCCAAUUGAAGUAAAACAAGAUCAGGAGAUUUCGGGUUCAAUCGAACUAUCGCAGAGUAAAGAAAAUCCGCGGUUUCUUAACAUUCACUUGAAGUACAGAUCGGGGAAUCGAGAAUGUGUUAAAGAGUCUGUGAUGAGAUGACGAGCUUCUAUCGUUGCCAGGUGGAAGCACAUUGUUGUCAGAAAUCUGAUUGCCCGAGUCCAAUACUCCCUGCAUUCUAAACCUGCAGUGAUAUAGCAGGUGGAGGCACAAUUUUUGUUAGAAAUCCGACUACCGAGUUGAGCACCUCCACGAAUCGUAGCAAGGACCUGAAUAGAUUGCCGAUUAAGACCACAUACCACAGAAAAUUGAUGUCAUCAAAUUGCACCCACAGACUUAGAGGACUCCAAACAUUGCGGUUUGCAACAUAACUUAAGGUUUGAAAAGUCAAGUGAAAACACAUCAGAACCACCACUGUUACCGACACAAGCGCUCGAUUAAGCUUCUCGCAAGUUCAUAGUGGCCUUGUGGGAUAAUAUGUGAAUUAUUCGAGAUGAGAGUGCUAAUUUAGAAUAGCACAAUUCCAGAUAAUAUGCAUUAAAGUGUGAAUCUUAAUUAGUGACAAUUGAACAAGCUCAAGUUUCUGUAAGGAAAGGUAAGUUGAAUUGACAUUUAUUUAUGGAUCUUUAACUAGAAUCCAUAAGCUUCACUUACAUGGCAUUUGUAAAUUGGUGAAAAAA